This 28-nucleotide non-coding RNA is filed under the name Cricetulus griseus (Chinese hamster). Lineage: Eukaryota; Metazoa; Chordata; Mammalia; Rodentia; Cricetidae. The record is from RNAcentral.
AGUAGAGUCACUGAGUUUUCACUUAAUA